Molecule: ribosomal RNA, 1371 nt
Filed under: uncultured bacterium
Lineage: Bacteria
Description: bacterial SSU rRNA
Rfam family: Bacterial small subunit ribosomal RNA
Source: RNAcentral
GAUGAACGCUGGCGGCGUGCCUAAUACAUGCAAGUCGAGCGAACGGACGAGAAGCUUGCUUUUCUGAUGUUAGCGGCGGACGGGUGAGUAACACGUGGAUAACCUACCUAUAAGACUGGGAUAACUUCGGGAAACCGGAGCUAAUACCGGAUAAUAUUUUGAACCGCAUGGUUCAAAAGUGAAAGACGGUCUUGCUGUCACUUAUAGAUGGAUCCGCGCUGCAUUAGCUAGUUGGUAAGGUAACGGCUUACCAAGGCAACGAUGCAUAGCCGACCUGAGAGGGUGAUCGGCCACACUGGAACUGAGACACGGUCCAGACUCCUACGGGAGGCAGCAGUAGGGAAUCUUCCGCAAUGGGCGAAAGCCUGACGGAGCAACGCCGCGUGAGUGAUGAAGGUCUUCGGAUCGUAAAACUCUGUUAUUAGGGAAGAACAUAUGUGUAAGUAACUGUGCACAUCUUGACGGUACCUAAUCAGAAAGCCACGGCUAACUACGUGCCAGCAGCCGCGGUAAUACGUAGGUGGCAAGCGUUAUCCGGAAUUAUUGGGCGUAAAGCGCGCGUAGGCGGUUUUUUAGUCUGAUGUGAAAGCCCACGGCUCAACCGUGGAGGGUCAUUGGAAACUGGAAAACUUGAGUGCAGAAGAGGAAAGUGGAAUUCCAUGUGUAGCGGUGAAAUGCGCAGAGAUAUGGAGGAACACCAGUGGCGAAGGCGACUUUCUGGUCUGUAACUGACGCUGAUGUGCGAAAGCGUGGGGAUCAAACAGGAUUAGAUACCCUGGUAGUCCACGCCGUAAACGAUGAGUGCUAAGUGUUAGGGGGUUUCCGCCCCUUAGUGCUGCAGCUAACGCAUUAAGCACUCCGCCUGGGGAGUACGACCGCAAGGUUGAAACUCAAAGGAAUUGACGGGGACCCGCACAAGCGGUGGAGCAUGUGGUUUAAUUCGAAGCAACGCGAAGAACCUUACCAAAUCUUGACAUCCUUUGACAACUCUAGAGAUAGAGCCUUCCCCUUCGGGGGACAAAGUGACAGGUGGUGCAUGGUUGUCGUCAGCUCGUGUCGUGAGAUGUUGGGUUAAGUCCCGCAACGAGCGCAACCCUUAAGCUUAGUUGCCAUCAUUAAGUUGGGCACUCUAAGUUGACUGCCGGUGACAAACCGGAGGAAGGUGGGGAUGACGUCAAAUCAUCAUGCCCCUUAUGAUUUGGGCUACACACGUGCUACAAUGGACAAUACAAAGGGCAGCGAAACCGCGAGGUCAAGCAAAUCCCAUAAAGUUGUUCUCAGUUCGGAUUGUAGUCUGCAACUCGACUACAUGAAGCUGGAAUCGCUAGUAAUCGUAGAUCAGCAUGCUACGGUGAAUACGUUCCCGGGUCU